GGUACGAGGUCGUGUGGUAGAGCAUCAUGCUAAAAACGUGAAGGUUGUGAGUUCGAGUCUUACCGUGACCA
Terfezia boudieri ATCC MYA-4762 is the source of this 71-nucleotide non-coding RNA. Lineage: Eukaryota; Fungi; Ascomycota; Pezizomycetes; Pezizales; Pezizaceae. The record is from the annotation of a GenBank genome assembly.